ACGGCACACAGAGCUUCUCGGGAAGUGGACUGCGCAGGCCUUUUAAUCAGUCUGUGGUGCAAAGACACAUUUCAAGACAAUCCUUAGAAGUCUUGGACACGCCUCUGCACAUGUGGCAGGUAUGUCUCUGUAUACUAAAUGUACAAGACACGUUGCUUUCUCCAUCCUUCCAGAGCUAAGUCUAAAUUACAUCUUGAU
This 198-nucleotide long non-coding RNA is filed under the name Dasypus novemcinctus (nine-banded armadillo). RNAcentral's name for it is "lncRNA (ENSDNOG00000050849.1)". The record is from RNAcentral. Lineage: Eukaryota; Metazoa; Chordata; Mammalia; Cingulata; Dasypodidae.